GUGCCAGCCGCCGCGGUAAUACAGAGGUCCCGAGCGUUGUUCGGAUUCAUUGGGCGUAAAGGGUGCGUAGGCGGCGGGGCAAGUCUGAUGUGAAAUCCCGGGGCUCAACCCCGGAACUGCAUUGGAUACUGCCUUGCUUGAGUACUGGAGAGGGAACUGGAAUUUACGGUGUAGCAGUGAAAUGCGUAGAGAUCGUAAGGAAGGCCAGUGGCGAAGGCGAGUUCCUGGACAGUUACUGACGCUGAGGCACGAAGGCCAGGGGAGCAAACGGGAUUAGAAACCCCAGUAGUCC
Molecule: ribosomal RNA, 292 nt
Filed under: uncultured bacterium
Lineage: Bacteria
Description: partial 16S ribosomal RNA
Rfam family: Bacterial small subunit ribosomal RNA
Source: RNAcentral